CCUACGGGUUGCAGCAGUGGGGAAUUUUCCGCAAUGGGCGAAAGCCUGACGGAGCAAUACCGCGUGAGGGAUGACGGCCUAUGGGUUGUAAACCUCUUUUUUCAGGGAGGAAUCAAUGACGUGUACCUGAAGAAUAAGCAUCGGCUAACUCCGUGCCAGCAGCCGCGGUAAGACGGGGGAUGCAAGUGUUAUCCGGAAUCACUGGGCGUAAAGCGUCUGUAGGUGGUUUAAUAAGUCAACUGUUAAAUCUUGAGGCUCAACCUCAAAAUCGCAGUCGAAACUAUUAGACUAGAGUAUAGUA
This 301-nucleotide ribosomal RNA is filed under the name uncultured bacterium. RNAcentral describes it as "bacterial SSU rRNA". It matches the Rfam family "Bacterial small subunit ribosomal RNA", at positions 338 to 653 of the family's 1533-position model. The record is from RNAcentral.